RNAcentral lists this ribosomal RNA (419 nucleotides) under uncultured bacterium. RNAcentral's name for it is "bacterial SSU rRNA". It matches the Rfam family "Bacterial small subunit ribosomal RNA", at positions 355 to 772 of the family's 1533-position model. The record is from RNAcentral.
UAGGGAAUAUUGGACAAUGGGUGCAAGCCUGAUCCAGCCAUGCCGCGUGCAGGAAGAAGGCCUUCUGGGUUGUAAACUGCUUUUGCCAGGGGAUAAAAAGCCCAUGCGUGGGAAAUUGACGGUACCUGGUGAAUACGCCACGGCUAACUACGUGCCAGCAGCCGCGGUAAUACGUAGGUGGCAAGCGUUGUCCGGAUUUAUUGGGUUUAAAGGGUGCGUAGGUGGUCCCUUAAGUCAGUGCUGAAAUAUCCCGGCUUAACCGGGAGGGUGGCAUUGAUACUGAGGGACUUGAGUAAAGUUGAGGUGGGCGGAAUUGACGGUGUAGCGGUGAAAUGCUUAGAUAUCGUCAAGAACACCUAUUGCGAAGGCAGCUCACUAAGCUUUAACUGACACUGAGGCACGAAAGUGUGGGGAUCAAA